RNAcentral lists this unclassified non-coding RNA (240 nucleotides) under soil metagenome. Its description in RNAcentral is "partial contains 5.8S ribosomal RNA, internal transcribed spacer 2, and large subunit ribosomal RNA". The record is from RNAcentral.
AACGGUCUAUACCUGCGGUACCUGCGGAAGGAUCAUUAUUGAAAAUAACAAGAGUGUUCCAGUUGUAUUCCGUUGCUGGCCUUCUAAUCAAAGGCAUGUGCACGUCUAUACUGAGACGCCCUUUUAUUACUUAUCCACCUGUGCACACUUUGUAGUAGUUCUGAAUCGGCCGGCCCUCAAGCUGGAUUCGGUUCAGACUUCUAUGUCUUUACAAACGCUAUAGUAUGUCUAGAAUGGUAC